Molecule: ribosomal RNA, 860 nt
Filed under: uncultured archaeon
Lineage: Archaea
Description: bacterial SSU rRNA
Rfam family: Archaeal small subunit ribosomal RNA
Source: RNAcentral
ACUGCUAUCGGAUUGAUACUAAGCCAUGCGAGUCUUUGUAGCAGUACAAGGCGGACGGCUCAGUAACACGUAGUCAAUCUAACCUAUGGACGAGGAUAACCUCGGGAAACUGAGAAUAAUACUCGAUAGAUCAUUAUACCUGGAAUGGUUUAUGGUCCAAAUGAAUUUCGCCAUAGGGUGGGACUGCGGUCUAUCAGCUUGUUGGUGAGGUAAUGGCCCACCAAGGCUAUAACAGAUACGGGCUCUGAGAGGAGAGGCCCGGAGAUGGGUACUGAGACACGGACCCAGGCCCUAUGGGGCGCAGCAGGCGAGAAAACUUUGCAAUGUGCGAAAGCACGACAAGGUUAAUCCGAGUGGUUCCUGCUAAAGGAAUCUUUUGUUAGUCGUAACACCACUGAUGAAUAAGGGGUGGGCAAGUUCUGGUGUCAGCCGCCGCGGUAAAACCAGCACCUCAAGUGGUCAGGAGGAUUAUUGGGCCUAAAGCAUCCGUAGCCGGCUUUGUUAGUUUUCGGUUAAAUCUAUAUGCUCAACAUAUGGGCUGCCGGGAAUACUGCAAAGCUAGGGAGUGGGAGAGGUAGACGGUACUCCGUAGGAAGGGGUAAAAUCCUUUGAUCUAUGGAUGACCACCUGUGGCGAAGGCGGUCUACCAGAACACGUCCGACGGUGAGGGAUGAAAGCUGGGGGAGCAAACCGGAUUAGAUACCCGGGUAGUCCCAGCUGUAAACUAUGCAAACUCAGUGAUGCAUUGGCUUGUGGCCAGUGCAGUGCCGCAGGGAAGCCGUUAAGUUUGCCGCCUGGGAAGUACGUACGCAAGUAUGAAACUUAAAGGAAUUGGCGGGGGAGCACCACAAGGGGUGAAG